Mus musculus (house mouse) is the source of this 1210-nucleotide long non-coding RNA. RefSeq annotates it as predicted gene, 46834. The record is from RefSeq and is a predicted model, not a curated record. Lineage: Eukaryota; Metazoa; Chordata; Mammalia; Rodentia; Muridae. The transcript has 3 exons.
UUAAUUUUGUAAUGGUAAUUACUGUGUAAAGUAAAAAGAGCAAAAAGACUUUCAGUCCAUCAGGGUAAAACAUGCCAUCUGAAGCAUGUGUUGACUCUAUUUAUAGAUUGCGUGAGGGUCUCCAUCUUAUGUGCCCUACACAGAAAGCAGCUAUGAGAAUUUAAACAGGCUUUGAAUAUUCUUUAAUGUCGACUUAUCUUCAUAAAUAGAAAAGAGCUGAGCAGAUGUCCAUAAAGGUUCUACUGGGAGAAGAUAAUGGACAGGUGAGAAUCUCAAGCUGUCAGAUCUUUUCUACUGUUCUUCACUCGUGCAGGCACAGUAUCCGUUGUGUCAAAUGAUGCUGAGCGGCAGAGAAAAUGAAUGCGCUGCGUGGAAGAGUCGCUUCACCGGCUCCUGGGGUCAUUGUGAUGGCCAUUCAGUGAAUCCAAGCAGGCAAGACACACUGCAGAAGACAGAGCAUGUUACUGAAGAUUGUAAGGUACUCCAAAAGAAGGAUGCCCUUGAGCCCUGGAAUGAUGUGCACCAACUGUUCAAACAGCAAGGCAAACCCAAGAAAGUAAGCACAAUGCUUUUUCAUCUCCUAGAAUAUACAAUCAACAAACACUUUCAAAACCUCUUCCACUGUGGACAGCACUGAAGUCUUGAUCCACUAUGGAGUCUGUCUGUAGACAUCAUAAAGAGUAUCUGAAGAUACAAGUUUAUUGUGGUCUGCAAAUUGAUCUGGAACAAUAACGUUCAUAUUUGUUUAAGCUCCACUUUCUUCAGCCUCCAAAUGCUUGCCAUAUGUCUCUCUAAAGUUACAUUGCUACUUUGAAUUAUGUUGAUAUUUUUUUCUAGAAAAAAUUAUGUGACUGAAACAAUGAAAAUGGUUUCAUUAAAUAUGAUUGGUCUUGUUAACCAUGUCUUUAUUAAACAUUGCUUUUUUUGCAUGGUUUAUUUUUAAUGCUGUGUGUGUAUCAAUAUAUGUACGUGUGUGCAAGUGCCCCGGAGUACAGAAAAGAAUGCCAGACUCCUGGAGCUAGAAUAAGAUAGAAUGUAUGUGGUUCUAAGCCCUAUGUCAUGGGUGCUGAGAGCUGAGCCUGAGUUCUUUGGAAGAGCAUCCCAUUAUCACACUUAACUGCUGAGCCAUCUCUCUGGCCUCCAUACUGUUUCUUAUUAAUCUUGUUUUAUUACUAAGUAAUUUCCCCCAAAUAAAAUAUAAAUAUGUCUA